Molecule: transfer RNA, 63 nt
Filed under: Hebius metusia (Wa Shan keelback)
Lineage: Eukaryota; Metazoa; Chordata; Lepidosauria; Squamata; Natricidae
Description: Hebius metusium (Wa Shan keelback) tRNA-Glu
Source: RNAcentral
GUUUUUGUAGUUGAUUUACAACGGUGGUUUUUCAGGCCGCAGGUCUCUGUUAGAGCAAGAACC